RNAcentral lists this ribosomal RNA (486 nucleotides) under Lygodium japonicum. RNAcentral's name for it is "eukaryotic LSU rRNA". The stretch from base 347 to 486 matches the Rfam family "Eukaryotic large subunit ribosomal RNA", at positions 1 to 141 of the family's 3401-position model. The record is from RNAcentral. Lineage: Eukaryota; Viridiplantae; Streptophyta; Polypodiopsida; Schizaeales; Lygodiaceae.
UGCAGAAUUCCGGGAAUCAUCGAGUCUUUGAACGCAACUUGCGCCCGCGGCUCGUCCAAGGGCAUGCCUGCUUGAGCGUCCCUAAACCCCCCACACCCUCCUCCUUUCUUCGGGGGGAGGGUGGAAUUGGUCGUCCGCGCGCCCGUGUUCCUCUCUUUUGGAGCGCAAGGGAUGCCGCGGUUGGCUGAAAUGUAUCGGUAGCACCGUGCGGCGAUGUUGCUCCGCAAGGGUGGUCCGUCCCCUCGCUCGAGGUGGCGGCUAUUUGCGGGUGCGUCCUCGAGGGUGCGUGUGCCGGAUCGGGCUCUUCGGAGUCGAGGCUCGUCCUCGGCGACUCGAAACACAACUCGGACCUCAAAUCAGGCAAGGCUACCCGCUGAGUUUAAGCAUAUCACUAAGCGGAGGAAAAGAAACUAACCAGGAUUUCCCUAGUAGCGGCGAGCGAACCGGAAAGAGCCCAGCUUGGAAAUCGCGCGGCUCUGCCGGGGA